UCUCGGUGAUGAACAAAAAACGAUGACGAGUCCGAUCUCUCUUAUUCCAUUCUUCUGUGACGACAAAUCGAGGCAUUUGUCUGAGAGAG
Molecule: small nucleolar RNA, 89 nt
Organism: Alnus glutinosa
Lineage: Eukaryota; Viridiplantae; Streptophyta; Magnoliopsida; Fagales; Betulaceae
Source: RefSeq, a predicted model, not a curated record